RNAcentral lists this ribosomal RNA (269 nucleotides) under uncultured bacterium. RNAcentral's name for it is "partial 16S ribosomal RNA". It matches the Rfam family "Bacterial small subunit ribosomal RNA", at positions 524 to 787 of the family's 1533-position model. The record is from RNAcentral.
UACAGAGGUGGCAAGCGUUGUUCGGAAUUACUGGGCGUAAAAGGGCGCGUAGGCGGUUCUGUAAGUCCUGUGUGAAAAUCCCCCGGCUCAACUGGGGAACGUGCACAGGAAACUAGCGGGGCGUUGAGUUCGGGAGAGGGAAGCGGAAUUCCGGGUGUAGCGGUGAAAUGCGUAGAUAUCCGGAGGAACACCGGUGGCGAAGGCGGCUUCCUGGACCGAUACUGACGCUGAGGCGCGAAAGCUAGGGGAGCAAACGGGAUUAGAACCUC